Long non-coding RNA from Zonotrichia leucophrys gambelii, 329 nucleotides. RefSeq lists it as uncharacterized. The record is from RefSeq and is a predicted model, not a curated record. The transcript has 3 exons. NCBI's taxonomy places the organism in Eukaryota, Metazoa, Chordata, Aves, Passeriformes, Passerellidae.
GCGGGGUUACCUGCUCGAAGGUGUGCCGGGCGGGGUGCGGGGAUGAUGGUCCCUUGGAAGCACUAGAUAUGCCAGGAGUGUCCAGAUUGUGGGUCUGCUGAUCUUCAGGCACAGAGCAGUGAUGGCAGCUCAGAACCAGGUGUCAAGGGUUGAAGCAUUUACUCCCCCAGACAAUGGAACUCUCACCUUUUCCAUGCACUCUCCUGCCUUCCAAUGCCUGGUUUCUUUCCUGCUCUUACCUGGCACUUUCACAAACACAUAUUUCAACCUCCCACAUUCCUGCAUUGCUGAGGAGACAAGUCUUUUACACUUGGAGGAAAAGAUAAUUG